AUGAAAUUCCAUCUGCUUAGCAUUGACCCUCUAGUGUGGAGAGCUGUGGAAACUGGCUUCUCUUGUGCAGAUGAAGCAAACCCAACGGCUCUUGAAAAGAGGAACUGGCAGCACGAUUACCGAGCUAGACGUGCCUUACAGUAUGCCAUAGGUGAUGAUCAAUACAUUCGGAUUUGCCGAUAUCAAUAUAAUAAGAGUGCCAAGGAGAUUUGGGAUGCUCUCCGAAAAUCUAAUGAAGCGGCUGGUAAGUCAAAGCUCUGUUCACUGAGGAUGGAUAUGAACUUCUUCGUCUUAGGGGAAGACGAGUCCCCGAGUGACAUGUAUACAAGGCUCAACAAUUUGGCCAAUGAAAUGAAGGGUCUCGGGUGCAAGGAGAUGACCGAUUCCUAUCUUGUGGAGAAGAUGCUUUUUGCCAUGACGCCAAGGAACCCAACCAUGGUUUUCCUCAUCCAUCAGAAGCAUGACUUUGAACUACUCACCCCUCGGGAGGUGCUUGCAACCUUCCUCCUCUACGGCGGGGAGCAAAAAGAAUCCAAAGUCGUGUGUGGGCAUGCUUUGCCACGCUCAAGCAAAAAGGUCAACGCUGCCUUGAAGGCCAAGCAAGUCCAAAUGGAGGAAAACGACCAUGAUCAAUACCAAGAGCAAAUUCAACAAGGAAUACAAGAAUUGGCUCUCUUAAUGAAGAAAUGUGAAGGGUGUCUUGGAAAGAAAGCCUAUGGAACAGGAAGUGAUUUCUCUGACAAGUCCAAGAUGAAGAAAUCAAAGAGAUAUUGCUAUCAAUGUGGUGAUCCCAAUCAUUUCAUUGCUGAUUGUCCUAAGAAGGAGGGUAGGAAAGAAGAGAAGGAGAAGAGCAAGUACAAGACGAAGCCAUUCGAUCACAAAGGCAAGCCAUACAAGCCAGACGGGCAGAAAGGUGUGGAGGCACAUCCUCGCGUCAACACGGGAGUGGAAAGUGCCGUUCAAAGAUGCAGAGGUGGUGGACUUGGACCGCUUCGGAGGCCGGUUAAUGGAGAACCUGAGAACUCCACUUCGGCUGACGAGGCGCUGAAGAGGGGGCUGGUGCCGAAGCCGACAUGGAAACCCGCCGCCCAGCCGUCACAGCAACCCUUCUGCCUCAGUGCUCACCUGCCUAGAGGAGUGGCCUUCUGCCUCAGUGCGUAUCUGCCCAGAGGAGUGAUGGUAUAUGAUGAUGAUGAUGAUGAUGAUGAUGAAGUUACUGAAUCUUAA
This 1227-nucleotide ribosomal RNA is filed under the name Triticum aestivum (bread wheat). Its description in RNAcentral is "partial small subunit ribosomal RNA". Lineage: Eukaryota; Viridiplantae; Streptophyta; Magnoliopsida; Poales; Poaceae. The record is from RNAcentral.